Molecule: long non-coding RNA, 3581 nt
Organism: Pseudopipra pipra
Lineage: Eukaryota; Metazoa; Chordata; Aves; Passeriformes; Pipridae
Exons: 3
Source: RefSeq, a predicted model, not a curated record
AACUCGUGUCCGUGCGGCCGUUGCUGGCGUCGGCCCCGUCCUCGUCCUGCGCUCUCACUGCUGCUCUCGUGGGAGACAGGGAAACACAGACACCACAGGAAACCAGAUCUAUGAAUGCUGUCUGCAAAUUGAAGAAGGAUUGUUUCAUCAAUUUGUGUUUUAACUUCAUCUCCUGAAUCUGGCGGUUUGCAAUAAGGCUGACUCACUGAUCAUGCUUUUUUUCACAACAAAAAAUUCACAGCACUGACCAAGAAGCCUGAGAUCCCUCAGCAGCUCCAGAUAAAACAGUGUCAAUGUCUUUGUGGACUCCUUUCCUUCCUCAGCACCUCUGAUUUGUACUAGUGAUGCUCAUUGCCUGAUACCAAACCUACUAUUUAACAUGGAAUAUCUUGGAGCAGAAACAGUGUUUCCCACCAUAUUUUGUAAAAAACAGGGAUCCCACUGCCACACAUAACAACUAAAGGAAGUGCUGCCUACAAUGGUGUUUGGUUUGAGAGCAGUUUUACAUAAAUAAGCGGAAUUAGGAGUAGUUCAAACAUGACUAUACAGCAACAAACUUGGUAACUUGGCAGCUGGCUGGUGGGUGGGUCAAUUACCCUCCCCCAGCCUUUGCAAUGCUUUAGAUUUAAAAUUAAUUCCCUUUUGCUGAAGGACAAAAGAACUCAUUAGACAAUGACUUGAUGAGGGCCUUUUCAGCUUGAAUGAUUUUUCCAACAGCAAAGGGAGAAUGGUAUAAUGACUUCUAGUACAGAUGUUACACAAAUGACUUCAAAAUUUUUGUAAACUUAAAGGGAAAAUCAAGUAAACAGAAAAUUUAGGUAAGCUAUGGGAUGCAGUAUUUUGUGUGUCUGUGGAGUUAUCUUUAGAUGGAGAGGACAUUCAGAGAGAACACUAGACUACUUUAUAUUAUGACAUUGGUAACUAUGAGAGAAACUGCCUAUUUUACUGACUUGGACUUAGUUAAGACUUUCCCUGGUUGGCAUAUUUGUUAAAACAACUUAAAGAGAAUAAGUGAAUGAGACAAAGCAGUGGAAAAGGAAUAAGAACAUGGAUGCUCUUUCUGACCUUGAAACUCUGAUGUUUUGUUCAUGCUGACAGGGGAUUUAGCUCUUGGACUUAUCUAAAAGAAAGAGGACAAAAAUCAGCACAAAUGCAGAAUACUUGCCACACACCGUAAACCAGAUAUUUUCACCCUUUUUUUUUUUUCUCCGCUGUUAUGCUGCAAUAUAUUUGCCCUCCUUUAAACAACAGGACCCCAAAUUCAGGAGAUAUUUAGCUAUUUAAAUGCCAUGGCAGCCAUCGAGGGUUGGCUACUUGACUGCUUUGGAAAGUCUGGCCCAAAUGCCUUGCAGUUUCCAGAUUCUGCCGAGGGAACAAAGAGACAAAAGGUGAACUGGGUGCCUUGGGACUGGUUUCAGGCAGCUAUUAAUACAAUGGGCAUCAUUUUGGAGGGCGCAGUGUGAAAAAUGCAGCUCUGUUGCCAUAAGUAAUAAUGACAGUCAGAGCUCAGAAAGGUUAUGAAGGGCAGGAACAAUUCAAACGCAGAUAAAAGGAAAGGGAACCUCAAACCCCCGAAUGUUAGAUUUUAUAUUUUUUACAAUUCAUGAAUGUAGCAUUAGGUAAUAGCUGUGUGAAUGCAGCUAGUCAGGGAAAUCAUGAACCUAACCCAUGCUGCCCCUUCUUCUUAGGGGAGAGGAAAUUGCCAUAAUUUAAUUCUAAAUUAGACAGUUAAUUUUGCUCUAGAUUGUGUCCAUUUCUUUCUAUUUUUCCUUCCAGCUGAUGUGAGCUUUUUCACCAAUGCUUCUUUUUUCUCCUUCAGUGUGUGUUGGACCUUGGGCAUUAUGUAAUUUUUUUCCCCACUAAUGUUAAGGAGGCAAAGAAUCAAUUUAUUGACAAUGCUCCAAGAACGUGAAUGAACAGCAGAAGCAAGAUGAAAACACAAAAUGGGCAGAAGGGACAGAAAAUGGCCUAUGAAGCCUGAUUAUAUCUGCUCCUCAAGAUGCAAAUCACCACAGGGCAAAAACCGACAGCUCACUAUCAGACACAAAACAAUUCUUAUCUUUACACCACAGCCCUUUCAGAGGCACGACCACAACAUGUGUUAUGUCUGUUAGUUCUAUCAGUAUCAACAUAUCAUUCCAGCCUCACAUUCAGACACACCUGGAUUCCCUUCAGAUUCAGUCUUCUCUUGAGACGAGCUUGAUCAGGCAAGAAGAAUUUGUUGUCUUCUGGAGAGUCUUCAGAAGUGGAGGAGUCAUCGGCUUCCUGACCGUUGGCCUUUGGGCUGGAAUUCCCGAAGGUCUGGGAGAUAAUGCCCUACCUGGUCGAGGAAGUUGUUGUCCUUGGAGAGCCGCCGGAGUUUGCACUCCAGGUUGACAAUACACGCUUCCUUCCGAACCACCUCGAUCCGGAGCUCGUCAUUCCUCUCCUCCAGCUCUCGGAUCUGCUUCCUGUACUUAUCCUUCUCAAUCAGACAGUGUGAGUACUGCGUCUGAGCCUCGUCGCGCGAGCGGAACGCCUGCGGUGGGGAGGAGAAACCUCUUCGGCACCUGGGCACCAGACACUUCUCCUGCUGGGUUUGUUUGUGAGGUGUUUGGAACAGGGACUUCAGAACUGGCACCCAGUCACCAAUUAACACAGCAGUAAGGAGCUGGAUGUGCCACAGCAGAACCAUUAAAAAUUAUGAUGAUGAGGGUGGUUCAUUUACAGCUCCCUCUUGGCUGGUGGGAAAAUGCUCCAGAGUGCAAAUGGGGUGACUUAACACUGACAUAAAGCCUUGCAGUGGCUGUUGUUAAGACCUUGGUCCUGCCUGCCAGAUGCUACACAGUGGAAACAACCCAAUAUUAUCCUAUGCUUAAUUACUGUAAUGCAAAUUCCAACAAGUAAUUCUUUUAACUGCUUAUUUUAUAACGGUAUUUCGGGCCCAAUUACCCACAAUUCCCCAAAGUGACACAGAAGAGAUGGAGGCUUUUGCUACUGCUUUCCCCCACUUUAACUGUUAGAUACCUGGUCUCGCUCCUUUUCCACCUCUUCCAGCUGUAUCAUCACAGUGUUCAUACGGUGCUUGUACAUCUCACAGUCUUUUCCUAGUGUUGAGCACUUCAACUCCAAAUCCUCUUUCUCCUCAAGAUACUGGAAAUGACACACUGUUAACCAGCACUGCUCUCAGAGGCCUUUUGGGCACCACCCCGAGACAUUCCAUCUCUCUCCCCCUUCUGCUUCUCACCUUGUCUCUCAAGUCCUCCACGUGACGAAUCUCCUCCUGGAGAUUAAAGAUCUUGUUGACCAACUCGUGACGAUCUUCCAGUGCCUCCUUACGGUCGUGUUCCAGAAUAUCCAGAAUGGCUUUGUCUGAAUCCGGCAAACUCCGCUUGUCAGCCUGAGGAAAGACAUUGUCAUGAGCCAGGCCAGGGAAACAGAAGAUACCAUUGCAAGGAGAGAAGUAACAGAGACAGUAACAAGCAAGAGGAAUAGAAAAUGAACAAGGUAUUGCAGUGGGAAAGCAGGAGAAGAGAUAGACAUCUGUUCAUAUUUUAAAACAGUGUCAGAAAAGAUAAAUAAAGGCUGUCUUGCUGUCAGAA